Molecule: ribosomal RNA, 313 nt
Filed under: uncultured eukaryote
Lineage: Eukaryota
Description: partial 18S ribosomal RNA
Rfam family: Eukaryotic small subunit ribosomal RNA
Source: RNAcentral
CCCUUAGAUGUUCUGGGCCGCACGCGCGCUACACUGAAUGGAUCAACGUGUUUUCCCUUCCCGAGAGGGACGGGUAACCCGCUGAACCCCAUUCGUGGUAGGGAUCGGAGCUUGCAAUUGUUCUCCGUGAACCAGGAAUUCCCAGUAAGCGCAAGUCAUAAGCUUGCGUUGAUUACGUCCCUGCCCUUUGUACACACCGCCCGUCGCACCUACCGAUUGAAUGGUCCGGUGAAGCCUCCGGAUUGGCGCGCACCUCGGUGCCGCCGAGAAGUUGGCUAAACCUUACCAUUUAGAGGAAGGUGAANUCGUAACA